UAAGACGAACCGUGCGAACGUUAUUCGGAAUCACUGGGCUUAAAGCGCGUGUAGGCGGGUCGGCACGUCGGUCGCUGAAAUCCCCCGGCUCAACCGGGGAAGGGGCGCCGAUACGGCCGGCCUCGAGGGGAGUAGGGGGACCUGGAACUUCCGGUGGAGCGGUGAAAUGCGUUGAGAUCGGAAGGAACGCCCGUGGCGAAAGCGAGGUCCUGGGCUCUUACUGACGCUGAGACGCGAAAGCUAGGGGAGCAAACGGGAUUAGAUACCCCGGUAGUCCUAGCCGUAAACGAUGGGCACUGGGUAGGAGACUCGCCGAUGGGUUUCCUGCCGCAGGGAAACCGUGAAGUGCCCCGCCUGGGGAGUAUGGUCGCAAGGCUG
RNAcentral lists this ribosomal RNA (378 nucleotides) under uncultured bacterium. RNAcentral describes it as "bacterial SSU rRNA". It matches the Rfam family "Bacterial small subunit ribosomal RNA", at positions 521 to 896 of the family's 1533-position model. The record is from RNAcentral.